GUGGUGCAUGGUUGUCGUCAGCUCGUGUCGUGAGAUGUUGGGUUAAGUCCCGCAACGAGCGCAACCCCUAUCUUCAGUAGCCAGCAUUACGGAUGGGCACUCUGGAGAGACUGCCAGGGACAACCUGGAGGAAGGUGGGGAUGACGUCAAAUCAUCAUGCCCCUUAUGGCCAGGGCUACACACGUGCUACAAUGGCGUAAACAAAGGGAAGCAGCCAUGUGAAUGUGAGCAAAUCCCAAAAAUAACGUCUCAGUUCGGAUUGUAGUCUGCAACUCGACUACAUGAAGCUGGAAUCGCUAGUAAUCGCGAAUCAGAAUGUCGCGGUGAAUACGUUCCCGGGUCUUGUACACACCGCCCGUCACACCAUGGGAGUCAGUAACGCCCGAAGCCGGUGACCUAACCGAAAGGGAGGAGCCGUCGAAGGUGGGACCGAUAACUGGGGUGAAGUCGUAACAAGGUAGCCGUAUCGGAAGGUGCGGUUGGAUCACCUC
Molecule: ribosomal RNA, 491 nt
Filed under: uncultured bacterium
Lineage: Bacteria
Description: bacterial SSU rRNA
Rfam family: Bacterial small subunit ribosomal RNA
Source: RNAcentral